UACCCGCUGAACUAAGCAUAUCAAUAAGCGGAGGAAAAGAAACCAACAGGGAUUGCCCUAGUAACGGCGAGGAAGCGGCAACAGCUCAAAUUAAAAUCUGGCUUUCGGGCCCGAGUUGUAAUUUGUAGAGGAUACUUUUGAUGCGGUGCCUUCCGAGUUCCCUGGAACGGGACGCCAUAGAGGGUGAGAGCCCCGUCUGGUUGGAUGCCAAAUCUCUGUAAAGUUCCUUCGACGAGUCGAGUAGUUUGGGAAUGCUGCUCUAAAUGGGAGGUAUAUGUCUUCUAAAGCUAAAUAUUGGCCAGAGACCGAUAGCGCACAAGUAGAGUGAUCGAAAGAAGAAAAGCACUUUGAAAAGAGAGUUAAAAAGUACGUGAAAUUGUUGAAAGGGAAGCGUUUAUGACCAGACUUGGACUUGGUUAAUCAUCUGGGGUUCUCCCCAGUGCACUUUUCCAGUUCAGGCCAGCAUCAGUUUUCGCCGGGGGAUAAAGGCUUCGGGAAUGUAGCUCUCUUCGGGGAGUGUUAUAGCCCGUUGUGUAAUACCCUGGCGGAGACUGAGGUUCGCG
Molecule: ribosomal RNA, 563 nt
Filed under: Fusarium sp.
Lineage: Eukaryota; Fungi; Ascomycota; Sordariomycetes; Hypocreales; Nectriaceae
Description: eukaryotic LSU rRNA
Rfam family: Eukaryotic large subunit ribosomal RNA
Source: RNAcentral